UACGUAGGGUGCAAGCGUUGUCCGGAAUUAUUGGGCGUAAAGAGCUCGUAGGCGGUCUGUCGCGUCGGAUGUGAAAAUCCAGGGCUCAACCCUGGACCUGCAUUCGAUACGGGCGGACUGGAGUUCGGCAGGGGAGACUGGAAUUCCUGGUGUAGCGGUGAAAUGCGCAGAUAUCAGGAGGAACACCGGUGGCGAAAGCGGGUCUCUGGGCCGAUACUGACGCUGAGGAGCGAAAGCGUGGGGAGCGAACAGG
This 253-nucleotide ribosomal RNA is filed under the name uncultured bacterium. Its description in RNAcentral is "partial 16S ribosomal RNA". It matches the Rfam family "Bacterial small subunit ribosomal RNA", at positions 524 to 776 of the family's 1533-position model. The record is from RNAcentral.